RNAcentral lists this ribosomal RNA (464 nucleotides) under uncultured bacterium. RNAcentral's name for it is "partial 16S ribosomal RNA". It matches the Rfam family "Bacterial small subunit ribosomal RNA", at positions 28 to 507 of the family's 1533-position model. The record is from RNAcentral.
GACGAACGCUGGCGGCGUGCUUAACACAUGCAAGUCGAACGGUAAGGCCCCAGCUUGCUGGGGUACACGAGUGGCGAACGGGUGAGUAACACGUGGGUGACCUGCCCCGCACUUCGGGAUAAGCCCGGGAAACUGGGGCUAAUACCGGAUAGGACCUCACCCUGCGGGGUGGGGGGAGAGUUGUUCGGUGGGGGAUGGGCGCGCGGCCUAUCAGCUUGUUGGUGGGGUAGUGGCCUACCAAGGCGGGGACGGGUAGCCGGCCUGAGAGGGUGGACGGCCACAUUGGGACUGAGAUACGGCCCAGACUCCUACGGGAGGCAGCAGUGGGGAAUAUUGCACAAUGGGCGGAAGCCUGAUGCAGCGACGCCGCGUGGGGGAUGACGGCCUUCGGGUUGUAAACUCCUUUCGCCAGUGACGAAGGUUUUCUGACGGUAGAUGGAGAAGAAGCACCGGCUAACUACGUG